Molecule: ribosomal RNA, 776 nt
Filed under: uncultured Neocallimastigales
Lineage: Eukaryota; Fungi; Neocallimastigomycota; Neocallimastigomycetes; Neocallimastigales
Description: partial large subunit ribosomal RNA
Rfam family: Eukaryotic large subunit ribosomal RNA
Source: RNAcentral
ACACGCAUGACACACUGCAUAUCAAUAAGCGGAGGAAAAGAAACUAACAAGGAUUCCCUUAGUAACGGCGAGUGAAGCGGGAAGAGCUCAAAUUUGAAAUCUUCAAGGUUCUACCUUGACGAAUUGUAGUUUAUAAGAAGUGUUUUCUGUUAGUAGGAGUGGCAAAAGUUCUUUGGAAUAGGACAUCAUAGAGGGUGAGAAUCCCGUAUUUGGUCAUUCCUUCUAGCUUUGUGAUACACUUUCAACGAGUCGGAUUGUUUGGGAAUGCAGUCCAAAAUGGGUGGUAAAUUUCAUCUAAAGCUAAAUAUUGGCGAGAGACCGAUAGCGAACAAGUACCGUGAGGGAAAGAUGAAAAGAACUUUGAAAAGAGAGUUAAACAGUACGUGAAAUUGUCAAAAGGGAAGCGUUUGACACCAGUGUUGUUUUUCCGAAAAUCAAUUACGAAUGUUUUGUUUUUAAGAAGUUAUGACUUCAUCGGCUUGCUUCUUUCUUUAUGAAACUUUCUUAAUGCACUUUUCGGUUAACAAGUCAACAUCAAUUUCUUUUGUUGUAAAAGGGUAUGAGGAAGGUGGCUUUCUUUUCGGAGAAAGUGUUUAUAGCCUUGUGCCUCUGCAAUCGGAGAGAUUGAGGUCUGCAGCGUAGAUCCUUCGGGAUUAGAUACAUUUGUGCUAAGUUAUAGCUUUUCAUAGACAACUUGUUGACUAUGUUUAGUCUUGUAGCUUACUCGCUUAUGCUAUUUUACCUACGCUUAGGAUGUUGAAGAUAUGCGCGACACG